AGCAAGCAACUGAAACUUUUUCAACUGGAAUUAGCUCAAACCUUUCUUUUACAUAGGAAGAAAAAUCUAGGAGCAUAACAGAUUACAUGACAAAAUAACAAAUCAAUUAACAUCACUCACAGGAAAAAUCAGGCACUUGAGCAGGCUACCUGAAAACCAAAAGGCUAUGCUGAUGGGUCAAAACACACUACAGGACACUGGAUCCCGGCCCUCUGCUGCACCGACUUAAAACCCAUCCCCACACUCACCAAGGCACAACCCCAAC
Long non-coding RNA from Oxyura jamaicensis (ruddy duck), 265 nucleotides. RefSeq lists it as uncharacterized. The record is from RefSeq and is a predicted model, not a curated record. The transcript has 2 exons. Lineage: Eukaryota; Metazoa; Chordata; Aves; Anseriformes; Anatidae.